RNAcentral lists this long non-coding RNA (199 nucleotides) under Hordeum vulgare. RNAcentral's name for it is "long non-coding RNA (HVUL_LNC020884)". Lineage: Eukaryota; Viridiplantae; Streptophyta; Magnoliopsida; Poales; Poaceae. The record is from RNAcentral.
UUUUUUUGUCUAUUAAUUUUUAUGUUUUUUUCACCUCAGAUAUUGUAUUAAUUUCGGUUGGGUUCUAACUAGAGAUGCACAUAAAUAACUUGGUUCUGGGUAUCAUAAAACAAACAAGGCACAGACAUAGAAGGUUAUUGAUUAUAUGCUACAACCCAUUUAAUUAAGCUGGUUUUCUUGACACCAUUUUCUAUUGCAG